CCUACGGGAGGCAGCAGUGGGGAAUAUUGCACAAUGGGGGAAACCCUGAUGCAGCGACGCCGCGUGAGUGAAGAAGUAUUUCGGUACGUAAAGCUCUAUCAGCAGGGAAGAAAAUGACGGUACCUGACUAAGAAGCCCCGGCUAACUACGUGCCAGCAGCCGCGGUAAUACGUAGGGGGCAAGCGUUAUCCGGAUUUACUGGAUGUAAAGGGAGCGUAGGCGGCAGCGCAAGUCUGGAGUGAAAUCCCAUGGCUUAACCAUGGAACUGCUUUGGAAACUGUGCAGCUGGAGUGUCGGAGAGGUAAUCGGAAUUCCUUGUGUAGCGGUGAAAGGCGUAGAUAGAAGGAAGAACACCAGUGGCGAAGGCGGAUUACUGGACGAUAACUGACGGUGAGGCGCGAAAGCGUGGGGAGCAAACAGGAUUAGAUACCCUGGUAGUC
This 440-nucleotide ribosomal RNA is filed under the name uncultured bacterium. RNAcentral's name for it is "partial 16S ribosomal RNA". It matches the Rfam family "Bacterial small subunit ribosomal RNA", at positions 338 to 795 of the family's 1533-position model. The record is from RNAcentral.